Molecule: ribosomal RNA, 214 nt
Filed under: Klebsiella pneumoniae subsp. pneumoniae KPNIH16
Lineage: Bacteria; Pseudomonadati; Pseudomonadota; Gammaproteobacteria; Enterobacterales; Enterobacteriaceae
Description: partial 23S ribosomal RNA
Rfam family: Bacterial large subunit ribosomal RNA
Source: RNAcentral
GGUUGUCAUGCCAAUGGCACUGCCCGGUAGCUAAAUGCGGAAGAGAUAAGUGCUGAAAGCAUCUAAGCACGAAACUUGCCCCGAGAUGAGUUCUCCCUGAGACUAUAAGUCUCCUGAAGGAACGUUAAAGACGAUGACGUUGAUAGGCCGGGUGUGUAAGCGCAGCGAUGCGUUGAGCUAACCGGUACUAAUGAACCGUGAGGCUUAACCUUAC